Molecule: non-coding RNA, 85 nt
Organism: Apis mellifera (honey bee)
Lineage: Eukaryota; Metazoa; Arthropoda; Insecta; Hymenoptera; Apidae
Source: RefSeq, marked provisional
GAAAUGUUCUUUUGAAAUUUUGCAACGAGACGAUAUUAAUCCACGUUGCAAUGUCUCGUCGCAAAAUUCCACGAGGAAUCGUUCU